UUGACAGAAGAUAGAUAGCAC
RNAcentral lists this microRNA (21 nucleotides) under Citrus sinensis (sweet orange). Its description in RNAcentral is "csi-miR156i-5p". Its record names the gene csi-miR156i-5p. The record is from miRBase by way of RNAcentral. Lineage: Eukaryota; Viridiplantae; Streptophyta; Magnoliopsida; Sapindales; Rutaceae.